RNAcentral lists this ribosomal RNA (1804 nucleotides) under Triticum aestivum (bread wheat). RNAcentral describes it as "partial small subunit ribosomal RNA". Lineage: Eukaryota; Viridiplantae; Streptophyta; Magnoliopsida; Poales; Poaceae. The record is from RNAcentral.
CCUAAAUCCCUGCCUACCCCGCCGCCUCCGGCCUCCGCACCCACACUGACAGGGUGGAGCCGCACGCCUCGACCCACUUCCGGACCUCGCCACCCGGCGGGCGACCCAAUGGCAACGAGCCGCCGGCACGCUUGCCAUUCGUCCGUUCCGCAGCCGCCACCCCGCGACUCCUUCUCCAAUAUCCCCAACCGUGCCGAGUAGUCAACCAACCUACCCCCACCCACCGCCGAUCCCCCGCCCCGGCGAGUCAUACAAAUAUGGAGCUCCGCCUCCGCGCUCCGGCGUCCCCCGCUUCCGCCUCUCCGCGCGGCACGUCGGUCUCCCCCAGCCCCAGGCCGCAUCCGGGCCUACCCUCGCAACCCAUUCAGAAGCGAUUGUCCGGCAGCGCCGUCUCCGUCUCCAGGCGAGGCACUGCGGCAAGGAGCAGCCCGUGUUCCGCCCUGAUGACGGCAUCAUACAACACAGGAACUCCGGACCUAGUCGACUUCGACUGGGAGACUCUUGGAUUUCAACUGGUCCCGACGGACUUUAUGUAUAUAAUGAAAUGUUCGUCAGAUGGGGUGUUCACCAAGGGUGAAUUGGUUCCAUAUGGGCCAAUCGAGCUGAACCCUGCUGCUGCAGUUUUAAAUUAUGGCCAGGGAUUGCUCGAAGGUCUUAGAGCACACAGAAAGGAGGAUGGUUCAGUAGUUGUUUUUCGCCCCAAGGAAAACGCGUUGCGGAUGAGGAUAGGUGCAGAUCGGCUAUGCAUGCCUGCACCAAGCGUUGAGCAGUUCCUAUCAGCUGUCAAGCAAACUAUAUUGGCAAACAAGCGUUGGGUACCCCCCACUGGCAAAGGUUCUUUAUAUAUCAGGCCGCUGCUGAUUGGAAGUGGAGCUAUGCUAGGUGUAGCACCUGCCCCGGAGUAUACAUUUGUUGUGUAUGUUUGCCCAGUUGGUCACUAUUUCAAGGAUGGCCUGUCACCAAUUAGCUUAUUGACUGAGGAAGAAUAUCACCGCGCUGCACCUGGUGGAACUGGUGAUAUUAAGACAAUUGGAAAUUAUGCUUCGGUUGUUAGUGCUCAGAGAAGAGCCAAGGAGAAAGGUCAUUCUGAUGUUCUUUACUUGGAUCCCGUGCAUAAGAAGUUUGUGGAGGAAGUUUCUUCCUGUAAUAUAUUGAUGGUGAAGGAUAAUGUUAUUUCUACUCCACUAUUAACGGGAACAAUUCUUCCUGGAAUCACAAGAAGAAGUAUAAUUGAAAUUGCCCAAAAUCUUGGAAUCCAGGUCGAAGAGCGCCUUAUUGCGAUAGAUGAGUUGCUUGACGCUGAUGAAGUCUUCUGUACAGGGACUGCCGUUGUACUAUCACCCGUUGGUUCCAUUGUGUACCACGGAAGAAGAGUGGAGUAUGGGGGCGGGAAGGUCGGAGCGGUGUCCCAGCAACUGUAUUCGGCACUUACAGCUAUCCAGAAAGGCCUUGUGGAGGACAGUAUGGGAUGGAGUGUGCAGUUGAAUUAGCAGCUUCAUCAUCUGGACGGUCUCUACGAGCCUCCUCGGCAAGAAAACAAUGCAAAAUCACUUGACCCUCUGUCAGGAAAUUUUGCAGAAUGUAGAAUAGCAUAAUUUCCCUGUGAAGAUAGCAAGAGGUACACACACAACAUAGCAUCAAGCUGGAUCAGAAAGAUUAAUAAUAAUGAUUAAAUAGCUGUUGUUUCUUCUCAUUCUGUUUCCCAGGAGGACUGAUUGCGCUUUGAGUGUAAAUAACUCUAUACCAUACUUGCAAUUGCAACCCAUGAGACAUAAAUAUUUGUUGCACCAACUGGGUUCAUUAC